This 99-nucleotide unclassified non-coding RNA is filed under the name Flavobacterium terrae. Its description in RNAcentral is "Flavo-1 RNA". Lineage: Bacteria; Pseudomonadati; Bacteroidota; Flavobacteriia; Flavobacteriales; Flavobacteriaceae. The record is from RNAcentral.
UUAUAGCCCUGAUUGAGCCAUUGUUGAAGCUCUUUUCUUUGUUGAUUUAGUUAAUCGAAGUCAACAAAGAAAAAGCGACUGGCGAAAGCAGGAAUAGCU